AUACUUACUGGCAGGGGAGAUACCAUGAUAGCAAAGAUGGCUUUCCCAGGGUAAGGCUUAUCCACUUCACUCUGGAUGUGCUGACCCUUGUGAUUUCCCCAAAUGUGGGAAAGUCAGCUGCAUAAUUUGUGGUAGUGAGGGACUGCGUUCACAUUUUCCUCUG
Small nuclear RNA from Nycticebus coucang (slow loris), 163 nucleotides. RefSeq annotates it as U1 spliceosomal RNA. The record is from RefSeq and is a predicted model, not a curated record. NCBI's taxonomy places the organism in Eukaryota, Metazoa, Chordata, Mammalia, Primates, Lorisidae. The transcript has a single exon.